Molecule: transfer RNA, 73 nt
Filed under: Syntrophobotulus glycolicus DSM 8271
Lineage: Bacteria; Bacillati; Bacillota; Clostridia; Eubacteriales; Desulfitobacteriaceae
Rfam family: tRNA
About the family: Transfer RNA (tRNA) molecules are approximately 80 nucleotides in length. Their secondary structure includes four short double-helical elements and three loops (D, anti-codon, and T loops).
Source: Rfam by way of RNAcentral
GGGGAUGUAGCUCAGCUGGGAGAGCGCUUGCUUCGCAUGUAAGAGGUCGAGGGUUCGAGCCCCUUCAUCUCCA